Molecule: ribosomal RNA, 366 nt
Filed under: Triticum aestivum (bread wheat)
Lineage: Eukaryota; Viridiplantae; Streptophyta; Magnoliopsida; Poales; Poaceae
Description: partial small subunit ribosomal RNA
Source: RNAcentral
AUGGAGUACAAGGGGCAGCUUCAGCUGGAGAAGAAGGGUUCCCAGGAAGAAGAAGCCAUGGCGAUGGCGGCCUCGUCCCCUUCCUUCUUCCUAUGGCACCCCUUGUCUCUACUGCAUCACGUCACCCGCAGCUGCGCAGGCUACCUGGGCCUCUCUCGCCUCUGCCACGCCCUCAAGGAUCUGAAGCCUCGCGCCGCUACUUCACCUCCCGCAGCUACCUCUUCCCAGCUGCAUGAUGCAGAGGCCGGAGCAGGAGGCGCUGGACACGCUGCACAUGAUGAUCGCGCGGCCGUCGAAGUGCGCUCGAGAGGGGUGCCCCAGAGGCCUCGUGGUCCAAGAGAAGGACGAGGAGGAACACAUCAUUAG